UUGCUAUCUGCGAUAUGGAAGAUUCGAACCUGCCGCAGGUUCGGGUCUCAUGCAGUGAGACAACGGAGCCGUUUACGGCGACGGCCCGAAGGGCGAGCGAAGCGAGUCAUCCUACACGACCCACCA
RNAcentral lists this small RNA (126 nucleotides) under Salmonella enterica subsp. enterica. RNAcentral describes it as "RtT sRNA". It matches the Rfam family "RtT RNA". From Rfam's summary of the family: This family represents a bacterial cis-regulatory element known as RtT RNA. The exact function of RtT is unknown although it is thought that it may be involved in changing the cellular response in relation to amino acid starvation. The record is from RNAcentral. Lineage: Bacteria; Pseudomonadati; Pseudomonadota; Gammaproteobacteria; Enterobacterales; Enterobacteriaceae. RNAcentral also lists the same sequence under 3 other names.